GCCGUUGUGGUAGCUCAGUGGUUAGAGUAUCGAACGCAUUAUUCGAAGGUCGUAGGUUCGAUUCCUGCUCACGGCU
Molecule: transfer RNA, 76 nt
Filed under: Rhipicephalus microplus (southern cattle tick)
Lineage: Eukaryota; Metazoa; Arthropoda; Arachnida; Ixodida; Ixodidae
Description: tRNA-Met
Rfam family: tRNA
About the family: Transfer RNA (tRNA) molecules are approximately 80 nucleotides in length. Their secondary structure includes four short double-helical elements and three loops (D, anti-codon, and T loops). Further hydrogen bonds mediate the characteristic L-shaped molecular structure. tRNAs have two regions of fundamental functional importance: the anti-codon, which is responsible for specific mRNA codon recognition, and the 3' end, to which the tRNAs corresponding amino acid is attached (by aminoacyl-tRNA synthetases). tRNAs cope with the degeneracy of the genetic code in two manners: having more than one tRNA (with a specific anti-codon) for a particular amino acid; and 'wobble' base-pairing, i.e. permitting non-standard base-pairing at the 3rd anti-codon position.
Source: RNAcentral